AGGAAAUGCUUACUUCAGUAACAGUAACAGGUGUUGCAGAUUAACUUGUAUAUUGUCCUGAACAAUGAUACUCUUUGUUUUUAUUUUGCUCUUUUCUCUUGCAGGUGAUAUUUUGGGGAAUGUCAUCACACCGGUCUACAGUGAAGUAUACAGAACAGAAAAGGACAUUACAUCUCUCUCCUGUAACUACUCCUCAGCGACGAGUCUAUAUUGGUAUCGUCAAUAUCCCAGAUCGGCUCCUGAAUUUCUUUUAGUCAUUCUACAUGCUACUGGAAAUGUUUUACAGAAGUCUGAAGUUGUGGAACUAGAUCCUCGAUUCUCUGGAAAACUGAAUAAAGAGAAAACCCACACGUAUCUCGAAAUCUCCUCUGCUAAAGUGACAGACUCUGCUCUGUACUACUGUGCCCUGGAGCCCACAGUGACAGGAAAACAAACAACACUGUACAAAAACCUUUCCUACACAGAGGGUAAAGCAUAUCACAGUCAACUGCAUCACAGUCAAUCAGCAGAAAUAUGGGAAAUAAAAUAAAUAAAUAAAAAUAAAAUGCAACCUAAUGUUUCUG
Non-coding RNA from Cyprinus carpio (common carp), 563 nucleotides. NCBI's taxonomy places the organism in Eukaryota, Metazoa, Chordata, Actinopteri, Cypriniformes, Cyprinidae. The record is from the annotation of a RefSeq genome assembly.